Molecule: ribosomal RNA, 550 nt
Filed under: Salmonella enterica subsp. enterica serovar Enteritidis
Lineage: Bacteria; Pseudomonadati; Pseudomonadota; Gammaproteobacteria; Enterobacterales; Enterobacteriaceae
Description: partial 23S ribosomal RNA
Rfam family: Bacterial large subunit ribosomal RNA
Source: RNAcentral
UCUUAAUUGGGCGUUAAGUUGCAGGGUAUAGACCCGAAACCCGGUGAUCUAGCCAUGGGCAGGUUGAAGGUUGGGUAACACUAACUGGAGGACCGAACCGACUAAUGUUGAAAAAUUAGCGGAUGACCUGUGGCUGGGGGUGAAAGGCCAAUCAAACCGGGAGAUAGCUGGUUCUCCCCGAAAGCUAUUUAGGUAGCGCCUCGUGAAUUCAUCUCCGGGGGUAGAGCACUGUUUCGGCUAGGGGGCCAUCCCGGCUUACCAACCCGAUGCAAACUGCGAAUACCGGAGAAUGUUAUCACGGGAGACACACGGCGGGUGCUAACGUCCGUCGUGAAGAGGGAAACAACCCAGACCGCCAGCUAAGGUCCCAAAGUCAUGGUUAAGUGGGAAACGAUGUGGGAAGGCCCAGACAGCCAGGAUGUUGGCUUAGAAGCAGCCAUCAUUUAAAGAAAGCGUAAUAGCUCACUGGUCGAGUCGGCCUGCGCGGAAGAUGUAACGGGGCUAAACCAUGCACCGAAGCUGCGGCAGCGACACUGUGUGUUGUUGGGUA